Long non-coding RNA from Megalops cyprinoides (Indo-Pacific tarpon), 247 nucleotides. RefSeq lists it as uncharacterized. The record is from RefSeq and is a predicted model, not a curated record. NCBI's taxonomy places the organism in Eukaryota, Metazoa, Chordata, Actinopteri, Elopiformes, Megalopidae. The transcript is spliced from 3 exons.
ACUGUUGAUGCCAGUGACCUCACAGGUUGGCCAGGCAUGUCUGUAGGCCUAUACCAAAAGAGGAAUAACUUUGCCUUGAGGUGGACCACCCACCUGCAGACAAUGCCUCCUACAUUGCUGAAACGGAUCAUUCCCUGACCGCUGCUUCUGAAAUUCUUGCCAGCCUGAUGGGGGAAUGGCAGCCAGUCCAAAGUUUCAGCAGGAUGGCUGUGUCCCUUACGGUGUCGGUGGAGGUCUUCACCAUCAC